RNAcentral lists this ribosomal RNA (492 nucleotides) under uncultured bacterium. RNAcentral's name for it is "partial 16S ribosomal RNA". It matches the Rfam family "Bacterial small subunit ribosomal RNA", at positions 29 to 507 of the family's 1533-position model. The record is from RNAcentral.
AGUGAACGCUGGCGGUAGGCCUAACACAUGCAAGUCGAACGGCAGCACAGUAAGAGCUUGCUCUUACGGGUGGCGAGUGGCGGACGGGUGAGGAAUACAUCGGAAUCUACUUUUUCGUGGGGGAUAACGUAGGGAAACUUACGCUAAUACCGCAUACGACCUACGGGUGAAAGCAGGGGAUCUUCGGACCUUGCGCGAUUGGAUGAGCCGAUGUCGGAUUAGCUAGUUGGCGGGGUAAAGGCCCACCAAGGCGACGAUCCGUAGCUGGUCUGAGAGGAUGAUCAGCCACACUGGAACUGAGACACGGUCCAGACUCCUAUGGGAGGCAGCAGUGGGGAAUAUUGGACAAUGGGCGCAAGCCUGAUCCAGCCAUACCGCGUGGGUGAAGAAGGCCUUCGGGUUGUAAAGCCCUUUUGUUGGGAAAGAAAAGCAGCAGGUUAAUACCCCGCUGUUCUGACGGUACCCAAAGAAUAAGCACCGGCUAACUUCGUG